UGAUCAUUGUUUUUUAAAAAUGUUACCAUAGUUACUUUUGAUCCACGUCUCAUCCUGUCACUGCUGAUAGCUAUGCUGCUUCAUAAAGUAAUGACAUAUUUCUGAGAUCUUUUCAGUUUUCCUGUUCUCACCAUGAAGUGUUGCAGUAAUAACACAUAUAAAAAUGAUACAUAUUUAGUCCUGCAAUCUUGAAGUAUUGGGCUCUUUGAAGGGUAGAGUCCAUUAUUGCCUGAAGGUUUUUUAUUUUUACACUAUACACCUGAAAAAAGGUCAAGCACUGCUUGUCUAUUUCCCAUCUAAAAUGUGGUCAAAUUGUAAUCAUGCAUUAAUUUUCUGGUGAGGAACUUUGUUUUCUGUUUACAAAGUGACUUCAUUUUGAUUGUAUAGUGAAAAGAUUUCAUGGUAACAUUUAUUGAACUAAUCUUUCUUUCUUCCAUAUGUUCUCUAUGUGAUAUGACUCAGUACUUGUGAUCAUGUGGAUGUGGAUACAAUGUUCUUGUAAUGUUUCAGGUAUUGCUGAUGUUAUAGACUUUUAAAUAUAAGAUCCUUUUCGAUGUAGCAGUUUCAAGAAGAUAAGGGAAAGUUAAGGGUUAAAGGGAUUGUGCUUAAUUUUCCCAGAGUAGAAGCAUUAUCACCUGAUGGGUUGUUCCUGCCUUGGCAAGUAAAUGAAUCAUUAUGGCCAACUGUGCAGUCCUCGGUGGGUGAAGCAUCCAUGUUGUUUGGAUGUGAAACCCCCAAUCUUUUACUCUGAUCUGAGGACACCUCCUUAGGUCAGGUGAUCCAUGAACGACAAACCUAGUGGAUAGAUGCAUAGAUUCUGGAGCCAAACUGUCGGCUUUCUGUAAUGAUUUUACAUCAUUUCUUUACCAUCUCUCUGUGGAUAUUUUGUUGACAAGUGACACAGAUCACUUCUAUGCUCUCAUUUCUUGGAGAUCCAGAACAAAUGUGUAAAUCAGCAAAACUGUUUUUAAUAUAUCUAACAAUAUUUAUUCAUUUAUGAAAUCUGUAACUUAAAGCUUAGUUGCAGUGGGGUUUCAAACACAUGGAAAUCAUGAAAUAUCAAUGAACAGUCUCUACUUGUCAACACAGAAUUGUUCUUGUGUAUUCAGUUAGACAUUACUGACGGAUCUGACCAGACGUAGUGCAUGUUGAUAUGUGAGGUGGGGAAGGUGGGGUAGCCUAGUGGUUAAAGCGUUCGCUCGUCAAGCCGAAGACCGGGUUCGAUUCCCCACAUGGGUACAAUGUGUGAAGCCCAUUUCUGGUGUCCCCCUGCUGGAAUAUUGCUAAAAGUGGCGUAAAACUAUACUCACUCACUAAUAUGUGAGGUCAAAUAUUGGGUCCGAAAGCAUGUGUAGGUGUAUUUGCGGAUGUGAUGCUUGUUACAUGAUAUGUUGUCUCUCCCAUGAGACAGCUAGUCGUGGGUUACAUUACUGUUCUAUCUGUGAUCUUGUGUUACAUGUAUUGUGUAAGUAUAUUGUUAUUUAAGUUUCUUGGUCAUGAUGUCUUGAUCAUGUUGAUGAACUUCUUUGAGGGACUUUUUAGAAGAUAAGGGUGUAAGGGUAGGUUCCUUUCUCACAAAGAAUUUAUGAAAUUCUACUCACUAUGUCUACGUACUGGAAUAUAUCUCUGUCAUGAUAAAUACACUAACUUGUCUGGUAGCAUAGCUUCACCUUAAGCUACAUUUGAAUAUGAUUCUUAAUAUUGCCUCUCAAUGAAAUUACAUUUAUGAGGUAAGGUAAUUCUGUACUAAGAGAGACAAAUUAGUCCCAAGUAUUAUUAUGGAGUGUGUAAUCGCAGUCUAGGAACAUGAAGUGUAUCAAACAGAGUACUUCAGGAAAUCCUGUACAGGAUCUGUGUAGAAUCCAUCUAACAGUUCACUUCUCUUCAGUGAUUUAUAUGUCAUGACCAAGAAAUGUAUAAUAUUGCCUUAUUUAUAUGGUAUUGAAUUCAUUUUGUUGUACAAAUAUCUCCAUAUAUGACCCAGGCAUUGGUGCAUUGCCCUGGACAUGUGUUUGCUCAUUGUUAUUUAUUUUCUGUAUAUAUAAUAGGAUCUCAUUUGCAUAUCAUGUAAAAAAUGUACAUAAUACGAUUGACAGCAUGAGUUGUGCAAUGUAUUUCAGUUGUUUGGCAGAGACAUAAAACAGUGUUCCUGAUUUUUCUUGAGGACUGCACAAUAUUUGGAGAUUUCUUCCCGAUGAACGAGUUAAUAGUGCUUAUGGAGAAAAUGUCUGUUUAUGUCAGACCUGAUCAAGAAAAAUGUUUCAAAUUCAGGAUGGACACUGUGGUGUUGUUUUUGGUAGGGAAAUCUCAUGAUACCCCAAUAUUUGAUGGCUAAUUUUGUGUAAAUGUCAUUCACAUUCUUUAACAAAACAGGCUUUUCUUUGUUUAAAAUGCACAGUAAGUUGGAACAGUUGCAGAACAGAGCUGAAGAGACAUGGCUUUGACAUAGCUGCAAAUAUUCUGUCAACAAAUUCAACAAAUAAAAUAAGUGUUUAAAAA
RNAcentral lists this long non-coding RNA (2499 nucleotides) under Haliotis rubra (blacklip abalone). RNAcentral's name for it is "uncharacterized LOC124279830". Lineage: Eukaryota; Metazoa; Mollusca; Gastropoda; Lepetellida; Haliotidae. The record is from RNAcentral.